UGUCCUUCUGUAGCAUAUGGGAUAAUCUAGUGUUCUUUGGAGUGGGGUGUUGAACUACUGUAUUUAGUCAGGUCAAGUCAAUGAUGCCAUGGAUCAGCAAAAGCUUGGAAAAGUGACUUGACUAAAUACAGUGGUUAUGGUCUCUUUCAAUUCAAUAGACCACUAGAUUAUCUUGACGUUUUGAGAAGGUUGAAUGAUGAGCUUAUUUACCUCAAGAAUGCAAAGUGUUAUGGGUUGCUGGAAAAAUGUAAAAGCUGCUGUUCAAUUGAUCAUGCUUUUCUUAAUACAUCAUUUUCUGCUAUUUUGAAUGUUGCAUGUACUAAUUUCUACUCAGAAGUAAACAACAACUGAUAGGUCUUUCAUUGAAUUAUGUUCACUUAAUAUCAGGCAAACAAGAAGCAAGCAAUCCCACAGGACAACUGAGAUCAAUGGAGGGGUCAGAUACAGCUAGAUCAGGGCAAACAAGAAGCACAUAGACACUGAAAGAUCAGUGAAGGAAGUUAAAUACAGCAGGCAGGAUUUCUCAGGGACCAGACAAUUGAUGAAAGAUAAAGGCAAAGGUAAAGUAAAUACACUGUGGAGUGUUAGGACACUAAAGACAGACCUACAAGAAGUAUGCAAGGGACCAAAGUAAGAUUGAUUGAGAGAUUUUUUCAAACCAAAAAGUAGGACGUGUAGGAUAGGUUUUUUUUGUGGAAUUAUCGUUAGGAUUAGCGAUGUUUUCCUUACAAUUAAAUGGAAAACGACGGCUAUCAAAAAAUGAACUGGCCCGAAAAAAUGAUUUACAGUUAGGUUUUGUAGCAAAUGUUUCCGCCAGCUUUGCUUUACAAAUUUUAACCCAGUUUAAUCCAGGUUAAAUCUUUCGUCUGUGUUCACGAUGCGAGAGCUUGGUGGAUUGUGUGACUGACGCGUACGUGACUCUUGAAAAUCAGUGCCGUUGCGUUACACAAGGAGCCGUUGAGAAUACUGUAAUAAGACUUUGUGCGGGAAUUUCAAUAUCCAGCUUCACAACAGGAGAUUCAACUGUUAAUUUAGCAAAAUUAUAAAGAUUGUGAAGUGCCAUUUGAUAUUUUGUUGGCUUGUUUAGUCAAGCAGCAAAGCAGCAGGUUACCUAGAGAAUCUUUAUUUUCUUUAUUUUCUGAGUAACUAGUCAAAAUACAGCAACAUUUCAUGAAUUUGAAUAAUUCCCGUGCUGAACAUAUCGACAUUCUCAACGGUCGUUAGUGUAACGUAGCACCACUGUUGUUCAAUAGUCUCGUACGUUUCUAUCAUGAUUCACCGGCUUCUCGCAUCGUGAGCUUUGUAAUUUUUUGGCUUUGAUUUUCCUGAGAAGCAAAUUUUUGUAAUUAGCCUUCGUGUUUAGAAUCACAACGUUUUGCUAGCUUUCCUUCGCAGACCAAAAUUUUGUACAAAUAUUUUUCCUCUUGCUUGUUAUUAAAUGUUUUCUAAACACUGUCUUGGCGGCCUAAAUUUACUUUAAGGGUAACCCAUGUCAAAAUUUUUAAUUUUCCCGCCAAAAAACUUAGAAAAAAUAUGGGCGCCUAGAAUACGCA
This 1553-nucleotide long non-coding RNA is filed under the name Orbicella faveolata. Its description in RNAcentral is "uncharacterized LOC110069279". The record is from RNAcentral. Lineage: Eukaryota; Metazoa; Cnidaria; Anthozoa; Scleractinia; Merulinidae.